Molecule: non-coding RNA, 317 nt
Organism: Sturnus vulgaris (Common starling)
Lineage: Eukaryota; Metazoa; Chordata; Aves; Passeriformes; Sturnidae
Source: RefSeq, a predicted model, not a curated record
UCUCUUCUCUUCCCUCUGGCUUAUGACUGCUUUUGGAAGCAGGAUACUGAGCUAAAUGGAUCUUUGAUCUGAAUUGGUCACAGCCAUCCUUGGAUGAGGAGAAGUACAAUGACAAACGAAGCUGAUCUAAGUGUUAGAGCAAACAUUGACAGCUCACAUUAUUAGGAAGCACAGAAGAAAGAUCUAAGAAUUAGCAAAGACUCUUGUGUACCAUGAAGAACACAUGAUGUGGAAGCCUUUUUAGCACCAAAACAGAAUAGUGCACCCUCACAUGAAGGAUGGCCUGGCAUUGACUGAGAAACAUAAUUUUCACAAAA